GGUAGGGUAAGUUAAGAAAACUAGAGGGCUCAUGCCCCUUGAAUGCACGUAAAAGUGUCCCCUGCCC
This 67-nucleotide transfer RNA is filed under the name Patelloida saccharinoides. Its description in RNAcentral is "tRNA-Met". The record is from RNAcentral. Lineage: Eukaryota; Metazoa; Mollusca; Gastropoda; Lottiidae.